AGCGGGUGGAUCGCCUGCUUAUAUGUUGGAUGGAGGGGGAUAACUACGGGAAACGUCCGCUAAUACCGCAUAACGUCGCAAGACCAAAGAGGGGGACCUUCGGGCCUCUUGCCAUCAGAUGUGCCCAGAUGGGAUUAGCUAGUAGGUGGGGUAACGGCUCACCUAGGCGACGAUCCCUAGCUGGUCUGAGAGGAUGACCAGCCACACUGGAACUGAGACACGGUCCAGACUCCUACGGGAGGCAGCAGUGGGGAAUAUUGCACAAUGGGCGCAAGCCUGAUGCAGCCAUGCCGCGUGUAUGAAGAAGGCCUUCGGGUUGUAAAGUACUUUCAGCGGGGAGGAAGGCGUUGUGGUUAAUAACCACAGCGAUUGACGUUAUCCCGGCAGAAGAAGCACCGGCUAACUCCAGUGCCAGCAGUCCGCGGUAAUACGGAGGAUGCAAGCGUUAAUCGGAAUUAACUUGAGGCGUAAAGUCGUCAUCGCAGGCGGUCUGUCCAAGUUCCGAAUGUGAAAUCCCCGGGCUCGAACCUGGGAACUUGCCAUUUCCGAAAACUGGCAAGGCCUAGAGUCUUGUAGAGGGGGGGGGGUAGGAAAUUCCCAUGGUGUAGCGGUGAAAUGCGUAGAGAUUCUGGAGGAAUACCGGUGGCGAAGGCGGCCCCCUGGGACAAAGACUGACGACUCAGGUGCGAAAGCGUGGGGCAGCAAACAGGAUUAGAUACCCUGGGUAGUCCACGCCGUAAACGAUUGUCGACUUGGAAGGUUGUGCCCUUUGAGGCGUGGUCUUCCCGGAAGCUAACGCGUUUAAGUCGACCCGCCUUGGGGGAGUACGGCCGCAAGGUUAAAACUUCAAAUGAACUUGACGGGGGCCCGCACAAGCGGUGGCAGCCAUUGUGGUUUUAAUUUUCGAUGGCAGACGGCGGAAGAAACCUUUGACCUACUUUCUUUGACAUUCCAAUGAGAACCUUUUCCAGAAGAAUGGGAUUUUGCUGACCUUCGGGAACUCUUGAGACAGGUGCUGCAUUGGCAUGUCGUUCAGCUUCGUGUUCGUGAAAUGUAGGGUCUAAGCUUCCCGCUAACCGAGAGGCCUAUACCCUUAUCCUUUGUUGCCAGCGGUUAGGCCGGGAACUCAAAGGAGACUGCCAGUGAUAAACUGGAGGAAGGUGGGGAUGACGUCAAGUCAUCAUGGCCCUUACGAGUAGGGCUACACACGUGCUACAAUGGCGCAUACAAAGAGAAGCGACCUCGCGAGAGCAAGCGGACCUCAUAAAGUGCGUCGUAGUCCGGAUUGGAGUCUGCAACUCGACUCCAUGAAGUCGGAAUCGCUAGUAAUCGUAGAUCAGAAUGCUACGGUGAAUACGUUCCCGGGCCUUGUACACACCGCCCGUCACACCAUCGCAUUAGGUUUCAAAAGAAGUACAGUGCGG
This 1424-nucleotide ribosomal RNA is filed under the name Pantoea agglomerans. RNAcentral's name for it is "bacterial SSU rRNA". It matches the Rfam family "Bacterial small subunit ribosomal RNA", at positions 100 to 1436 of the family's 1533-position model. Lineage: Bacteria; Pseudomonadati; Pseudomonadota; Gammaproteobacteria; Enterobacterales; Erwiniaceae. The record is from RNAcentral.